RNAcentral lists this ribosomal RNA (728 nucleotides) under Bacillus altitudinis. Its description in RNAcentral is "bacterial SSU rRNA". It matches the Rfam family "Bacterial small subunit ribosomal RNA", at positions 56 to 767 of the family's 1533-position model. The record is from RNAcentral. Lineage: Bacteria; Bacillati; Bacillota; Bacilli; Caryophanales; Bacillaceae.
UGCAAGUCGAGCGGACAGAAGGGAGCUUGCUCCCGGAUGUUAGCGGCGGACGGGUGAGUAACACGUGGGUAACCUGCCUGUAAGACUGGGAUAACUCCGGGAAACCGGAGCUAAUACCGGAUAGUUCCUUGAACCGCAUGGUUCAAGGAUGAAAGACGGUUUCGGCUGUCACUUACAGAUGGACCCGCGGCGCAUUAGCUAGUUGGUGAGGUAACGGCUCACCAAGGCGACGAUGCGUAGCCGACCUGAGAGGGUGAUCGGCCACACUGGGACUGAGACACGGCCCAGACUCCUACGGGAGGCAGCAGUAGGGAAUCUUCCGCAAUGGACGAAAGUCUGACGGAGCAACGCCGCGUGAGUGAUGAAGGUUUUCGGAUCGUAAAGCUCUGUUGUUAGGGAAGAACAAGUGCAAGAGUAACUGCUUGCACCUUGACGGUACCUAACCAGAAAGCCACGGCUAACUACGUGCCAGCAGCCGCGGUAAUACGUAGGUGGCAAGCGUUGUCCGGAAUUAUUGGGCGUAAAGGGCUCGCAGGCGGUUUCUUAAGUCUGAUGUGAAAGCCCCCGGCUCAACCGGGGAGGGUCAUUGGAAACUGGGAAACUUGAGUGCAGAAGAGGAGAGUGGAAUUCCACGUGUAGCGGUGAAAUGCGUAGAGAUGUGGAGGAACACCAGUGGCGAAAGCGACUCUCUGGUCUGUAACUGACGCUGAGGAGCGAAAGCGUGGGGA